AAGUCGUAACAAGGUUUCCCGCAUGAGGAGCGCCCAACUGCAGGCAUAUCACCUCUGAAGCCUUGAAUUCUGAGUCUACACCUGUAGGCGACAUCAGUCUGUUGCUGGGAAUUUCCGAGAGACAACCAGCAGCCACAUCACCGGAUGUGGUUCACAGAUCAAACACUGGUGGCCCCGUGGACCCUAUAACACCCCGUAACGCGGGCAGUAACGGGCCCCCGCGGGUUAAAAUAUGACCGGCCCCUGUCAAGAGAUUGAUGGGCCACUCGCGUUCCGUAGGUGAACCUGCGGAAGGAUCAU
RNAcentral lists this unclassified non-coding RNA (300 nucleotides) under Myriospora sp. RNAcentral describes it as "partial contains small subunit ribosomal RNA". Lineage: Eukaryota; Fungi; Ascomycota; Lecanoromycetes; Acarosporales; Acarosporaceae. The record is from RNAcentral.